AACUUAGUAUCACGAUACAUCAUGGCAAGAAAACUAAACAUGAAGCAGACUUCCUUUUCUGAGGAUAACAGUCCUAAUGUUGGAAAUAAACAACCUUAUGUUGUCAAACAGAGUAGCAUUUGUUUAACGUAACAUUGGUUCUUAGAGGACCAUGGAGUUAAGUCUGCUUUGUGUUUUUUUUUGUCUUGGAAAACAGUUUUGUGAGAACAUUUGUUUUGACGUCACUCAUAUCACUAUGUCAGGUCCCAUGCUUGAGAAAACACAGAAGUAGACAGAACUAGAAGUCUAAUGUAAAGCUAAGUCACAGUAACAUCCAUGGGUUAAUGAGAGUAUUAAUCUACUACGAUGUCACUAAAGGGUCAUUGACAUCCAGAAGACUAUAUGUUGAGAAUACAAAGCUGUUACCUGUAUAAUUGACCUGCCUGAACUCUGUCAGUCUUUGGGACCUAGAUAUCCUUGAAACCCCUUGGAUAAAUUUAUAAAGAUAUCACACUAUUGUUAUGUCACAUAAGAUACUAAGUAACACCACAUUAAAGAUAAUCAAAUGGGUGAUUUCAGUGAGAUUGGAUGAUGAAUAAUUAAGAGUUGAGUGUUGCUUUCUGAAAUAUAUUUUAAGGUAAUUUCAGAAUUUAUUGAACAGAUAGAGAGAGAGAAUGACAGUGGGGUUGGCCAUUUGAUUAGUUGUUCAGCAGUCUUAUGGCUUGGGGGUAGAAGCCGUUAAGGAGCCUUUUGGUCAUAGACUUGGCGCUCCAGUACCGCUUUCCAUGCGGUAGCAGAGACCUGUUUUGUUCCCCCCUCCCUCAAUCUACACACAAUAAUGACAAAGCAAAUCAGGUCAAUAUAAUACAGAAAUAUCACAUUUACAUAAGUACUCAGAACCUUCACUCAGUACUUUGUUGAAGCCCCUUUGCCAGCGAUUACAGCCUUGAGUCUUCUUCGGUAUGACGCUACAGGCUUGGCACACCUGUAUUUGGGGAGUUUCUCUGCAGAUCCUCAAAAAGCUCUGUCAGGUUGGAUGGAGAGCGUUGCCGCACAGGUAUUUUCAGGUGUCUAACGAGAUGUUCGAUCGGGUUCAAGUCCGGGCUCUGGCUGUGUCACUUGUCGUGGAAAUUGAAAGACUGUUAUAAUGCUUGUAUUGCAUUAUAAUGGUUGUUUUAUGCGACAGGAUAGAGUAUUCUGUUAACUAUUGUGUGUGUGUUCUACUGAGGAGGGCCUCUGAGAACACUGACAGGGGAGAUUUGAUGUCUUUGGGUGAUAAAACCUAAAGAUCAUUCCAGAGAACACGAGGUAAUGGUUCUGUUCUAUACCGUACCAGGGAGAGACGGUUCCAGUUUGGAGUAUUAGGACCAGACAUUGGUCUUUACAAUGAAGUAGAUACCUUUCAUACAAAUCUUAACCUUGUGACCUUUCUAUGUAUCCAUUGUUCGUCAUGUAAGUUGAGAGGGGUGUAUCUUGGCUAUAAAAUAUCUUUGUACUUUUGUGUUGUCACUUUCAAUGGUUCAUUAGAAAUGGCGCAUCAUUGAAAGUUGAUUGCUAUUGCAAAGCUCUUAUUAUUAAAAAUGUAGUUUAAGUAUAACUCUGACUGGUGUGGGAAGUUUGUUUCUCCUCAUUUGGUAAUACAGAAAUUAGCCACCACACACUCAAGGACAUUUAGCGACUUGUCCCAAAGCCACUCCUGCAUUGUCUUGGCUGUGUGCUGAGGGUAGUUGACCUGUUCGAAGGUGAACCUUCGCCCGAGUCUGAGGUCCUGAGAACUCUGGAGGAGGUUUUCAUCAAGGAACUGUCUGCAC
Molecule: long non-coding RNA, 1790 nt
Filed under: Salmo salar (Atlantic salmon)
Lineage: Eukaryota; Metazoa; Chordata; Actinopteri; Salmoniformes; Salmonidae
Description: lncRNA (ENSSSAG00000089578.1)
Source: RNAcentral